This 55-nucleotide transfer RNA is filed under the name Rhabditophanes sp. KR3021. Its description in RNAcentral is "tRNA-Ala". The record is from RNAcentral. Lineage: Eukaryota; Metazoa; Nematoda; Chromadorea; Rhabditida; Alloionematidae.
AGGGUAUUAGUUUAAUAAAAAUAUCUGCUUUGCAUGUAGAAGAUUUUAUACUCUG